Molecule: ribosomal RNA, 250 nt
Filed under: uncultured bacterium
Lineage: Bacteria
Description: partial 16S ribosomal RNA
Rfam family: Bacterial small subunit ribosomal RNA
Source: RNAcentral
AUUGAACGCUGGCGGCAUGCCUUACACAUGCAAGUCGAACGGCAGCACGGGUGCUUGCACCUGGUGGCGAGUGGCGAACGGGUGAGUAAUAUAUCGGAACGUACCUUAUUGUGGGGGAUAACGCAGCGAAAGCUGUGCUAAUACCGCAUAAUCCCUAAGGGGGAAAGCGGGGGACCGUAAGGCCUCGCGCAAUUAGAGCGGCCGAUACCUGAUUAGCUAGUUGGUGAGGUAAAGGCUCACCAAGGCAACG